GACGAACGCUGGCGGCGUGCUUAACACAUGCAAGUCGAACGGAAAGGCCCUGCUUUUGUGGGGUGCUCGAGUGGCGAACGGGUGAGUAACACGUGAGUAACCUGCCCUUGACUUUGGGAUAACUUCAGGAAACUGGGGCUAAUACCGGAUAGGAGCUCCUGCUGCAUGGUGGGGGUUGGAAAGUUUCGGCGGUUGGGGAUGGACUCGCGGCUUAUCAGCUUGUUGGUGGGGUAGUGGCUUACCAAGGCUUUGACGGGUAGCCGGCCUGAGAGGGUGACCGGCAAAAUGGGACUGAGAUACGGCCCAGACUCCUACGGGAGGCAGCAGUGGGGAAUAUUGCACAAUGGGCGGAAGCCUGAUGCAGCAACGCCGCGUGCGGGAUGACGGCCUUCGGGUUGUAAACCGCUUUCGCCUGUGACGAAGCGUGAGUGACGGUAAUGGGUAAAGAAGCACCGGCUAACUACGUG
This 467-nucleotide ribosomal RNA is filed under the name uncultured bacterium. RNAcentral describes it as "partial 16S ribosomal RNA". It matches the Rfam family "Bacterial small subunit ribosomal RNA", at positions 28 to 507 of the family's 1533-position model. The record is from RNAcentral.